RNAcentral lists this long non-coding RNA (211 nucleotides) under Mytilus galloprovincialis (Mediterranean mussel). Lineage: Eukaryota; Metazoa; Mollusca; Bivalvia; Mytilida; Mytilidae. The record is from RNAcentral.
AUAAAAUCUAUGUCAUAGAAAUCUCUCCAUAUUUUUUUCAAUAAAAUAAAUGUGUUAGGAUGGUCUUAUGACCAUCGUAGUUAGGACUGUCCUGAGACAGCUUUGUUUUACAUCCUAAGACAUGUCUCAGACACGUCCUAAGACCAUCCUAAAUAAUGUCCUAAGACAUAUCUUAGGACAUAUCCUAGGAUACUUUCAUUGACACGGCCCC